This 463-nucleotide ribosomal RNA is filed under the name uncultured bacterium. RNAcentral's name for it is "bacterial SSU rRNA". It matches the Rfam family "Bacterial small subunit ribosomal RNA", at positions 383 to 842 of the family's 1533-position model. The record is from RNAcentral.
CUGAACCAGCCAAGUCGCGUGAGGGAAUAAGGCCCUACGGGUCGUAAACCUCUUUUGCCAGGGAGCAAUGCCGUCCACGUGUGGACGGAAGGAGAGUACCUGGAGAAAAAGCAUCGGCUAACUCCGUGCCAGCAGCCGCGGUAAUACGGAGGAUGCGAGCGUUAUCCGGAUUUAUUGGGUUUAAAGGGUGCGUAGGCGGCCUGCCAAGUCAGCGGUAAAAUUGCGGGGCUCAACCCCGUACAGCCGUUGAAACUGCCGGGCUCGAGUGGGCGAGAAGUAUGCGGAAUGCGUGGUGUAGCGGUGAAAUGCAUAGAUAUCACGCAGAACCCCGAUUGCGAAGGCAGCAUACCGGCGCCCGACUGACGCUGAGGCACGAAAGUGCGGGGAUCAAACAGGAUUAGAUACCCUGGUAGUCCGCACAGUAAACGAUGAAUGCUAGCUGUCCGGGGGGAUUGACCCCUGG